This 28-nucleotide non-coding RNA is filed under the name Homo sapiens (human). Lineage: Eukaryota; Metazoa; Chordata; Mammalia; Primates; Hominidae. The record is from RNAcentral.
GGUGAAGUGUCAGAUGAGGCUAUAUUUU